Molecule: long non-coding RNA, 162 nt
Organism: Onychomys torridus (southern grasshopper mouse)
Lineage: Eukaryota; Metazoa; Chordata; Mammalia; Rodentia; Cricetidae
Exons: 2
Source: RefSeq, a predicted model, not a curated record
GAGAAAUUCACGAAAGACCCACAAUACCAGAAAUGUCUUUCAUCUAGAAUAAGAUCCAAAAUCAACAAGACUAUAAAUAACAUUUUUGAAAAAGCUGAGAGCCUAAAAUUUACACUCCAAAGACGACAUACUAAAGAUUAUGAAGGCUCCCUGGCAGAUAAG